AGAUCGCAACCAGGAGAGAGACGAGUUCAGAGUCUGUUUUAAGAAAAGAAUUAUUUACUUCUUACCAUAUUUUAAAAUAUGUAUUUAUUAGUUUAAGAACAUUGAUAAGUGCUAUGGAAAGAUAACUAAAUUAUGAAUUAUUAAACACUUAUCACUCUUCUUCCGGUUUGAUCUCAUGGAGCAGCCCAACAUCCUCCGGAUCACAUCUCCCCAUUCCGUGGAUCACGCCCCAGCUCAUCUUCCCCGUAUCCGCGAUUCAUUCUUCCGCUUCUCCCAGCAUCCCACUUUCAACCACCUACAGAUAGCUCCCAGUUCAUCUUUCCUAUUCAUCCCAUUGUGAUCCAUCCUUAUCCACA
RNAcentral lists this long non-coding RNA (356 nucleotides) under Phoenix dactylifera (date palm). Its description in RNAcentral is "long non-coding RNA (PDAC_LNC021361)". The record is from RNAcentral. Lineage: Eukaryota; Viridiplantae; Streptophyta; Magnoliopsida; Arecales; Arecaceae.